Roridomyces roridus is the source of this 94-nucleotide non-coding RNA. The record is from the annotation of a GenBank genome assembly. Lineage: Eukaryota; Fungi; Basidiomycota; Agaricomycetes; Agaricales; Mycenaceae.
UCCGGUGUGGUGUAUCGGUAACAUAUCCGCCUCUCAUGAACAGGAGACAUCCAGAUCGACGCGGUUGCGCGGGGUUCGAUUCCCCGCACCGGAA